RNAcentral lists this ribosomal RNA (501 nucleotides) under uncultured bacterium. Its description in RNAcentral is "bacterial SSU rRNA". It matches the Rfam family "Bacterial small subunit ribosomal RNA", at positions 28 to 507 of the family's 1533-position model. The record is from RNAcentral.
GACGAACGCUGGCGGCGUGCCUAACACAUGCAAGUCGUGCGAGAAAGCCCCUUCGGGGGUGAGUACAGCGGCGGACGGGUGAGUAACACGUGAGUGAUCUACCCGGCGGCGGGGGACAACCCAGGGAAACCUGGGCUAAUACCGCAUACAGCGGAGGGAGUAGGUGCCCUUCGUGAAAGCUGGCCUCUCCAUGGAAGCUAGCGUCGCCGGAGGAGCUCGCGGCCUAUCAGCUAGUUGGUGGGGUAACGGCCUACCAAGGCUAUGACGGGUAGCUGACGUGAGAGCGUGAGCAGCCACACUGGGACUGAGACACGGCCCAGACUCCUACGGGAGGCAGCAGUGGGGAAUAUUGCGCAAUGGGCGAAAGCCUGACGCAGCGACGCCGCGUGGGGGAGGAAGGCCCUAGGGUUGUAAACCCCUGUCAGGUGGGACGAACCCCGGGUCGGUUAAUAAUCGGCUCGACUGACGGUACCACCAGAGGAAGCUCCGGCUAACUCCGUG